Molecule: ribosomal RNA, 250 nt
Filed under: uncultured bacterium
Lineage: Bacteria
Description: partial 16S ribosomal RNA
Rfam family: Bacterial small subunit ribosomal RNA
Source: RNAcentral
ACGGAGGGUGCAAGCGUUAAUCGGAAUAACUGGGCGUAAAGCGCACGCAGGCGGUUGGACAAGUCAGAUGUGAAAGCCCCGGGCUCAACCUGGGAACUGCAUUUGAAACUGUCUGACUAGAGUCUUGUAGAGGGGGGUAGAAUUCCAGGUGUAGGAGUGAAAUCCGUAGAUAUCUGGAGGAACAUCAGUGGCGAAGGCGGCCCCCUGGACAAAGACUGACGCUCAGGUGCGAAAGCGUGGGUAGCAAACA